UUGUAAAAUGUACAAUGAUAAUUCUUGUUUAUUUAAAGCAAAGAAUUUAUAUUCUUUUUUUUUUUAUCUUGGAUAUAUUUGCAAGAACCUAUUUGUGUGAGGUAACUUUCAAACUUUGAAAUUCUUCUCAUCAAGAACCAAUUCUAUAGAAUAACUACCAGUAACUGUUUUAACACCCUAACGCUCUUCUUUUUCGAAAGUAUAUAUCUUCGAGUUCAACUAGGGCGACGAUACAUCUACAUCGUUGAAGAAAAACAGUAUCUAAAUCUAAUAUCGUUAUUGUUAUUAUUAUUAUUAUUAUUAUUAUUAUUAAUAAUUUCUCUUCCGACAAAAUGGCAAAGCUCUUCACGAAAAUUGUUCGUCAAGUAAAACUGAUUACUUCACCGAACCUUUUGCAAUGCCAUAUAAGCAACAAGUCGAUAACCAAUCAACAUCAUCGCCAUAAUCAACAAGUCUACCGUUAAGUUAGUUAGUCCAACUGAUUUCACAGCUGGAAAAUCCGCAACAUGACAGUAGACUCCUUGUGAACAUUCGUAUAAGUCAUUCGCAUUGUACUGAACCCCAAGAAGAAGCUUGUAGCAGUAGUAGCUAUAGCUCAAGUACUUUAACCACACGAUAAAAGGCGGGAUUUGUUGUAUGUAAUAUCCUCCAGCGAUAAGGAAAACCAAGGUUGUAACCGAAGCCAAAGUGGUCGCUUGUUUGACAUCCAUAAGUAUGGCACCAAUGGCUAACCCGAGACUUUGGGCUACAAGGACAUUGUAGAGGACCACAAGUAGUGAUAGGACAAAGGUGGCUGGGUCGGCCUUUAACCCGCCCAUCCAGUAAAGUAUGAAAGUAAAGGCGGUUGGUAGCGCAAGCUCAAGUGGUAGGUCUCCAAUGGUUCUUGCAAGGAAGUAAGACGAAAGACGGUACAUUCCAGAUGAUCUUUCUUUUAUAAGCAUUCUUCUUUCUUGUGGAAAGGUAAAAACCGCGUUGUAGAGCGGGUAAAAGCCCCAAAAAACCGAGAAGAAGAAAAGCAUUGCUACCUGCAAGAAAAGAAUAAAACAGUUAUUUGGAUCGAGUCCAAAUGUUCUAGAGCUUAUGCAAGCAUUGUUUAAGCGUUUUUAACAAAGUAUAUUUAGGGUAACGGUAACUUAAUUAAUUGUUUCGACACGAAACAUAGAAAAAGUCAACAUGGUCAAAAGUUACUACCG
Molecule: long non-coding RNA, 1193 nt
Filed under: Helianthus annuus (common sunflower)
Lineage: Eukaryota; Viridiplantae; Streptophyta; Magnoliopsida; Asterales; Asteraceae
Description: hypothetical non coding rna
Source: RNAcentral